RNAcentral lists this ribosomal RNA (254 nucleotides) under uncultured bacterium. RNAcentral's name for it is "partial 16S ribosomal RNA". It matches the Rfam family "Bacterial small subunit ribosomal RNA", at positions 524 to 776 of the family's 1533-position model. The record is from RNAcentral.
UACGUAGGGUGCAAGCGUUGUCCGGAAUUAUUGGGCGUAAAGAGCUCGUAGGCGGUCUGUCGCGUCGGCUGUGAAAACUCGGGGCUCAACCCCGAGCCUGCAGUCGAUACGGGCAGACUAGAGUGCGGUAGGGGAGACUGGAAUUCCUGGUGUAGCGGUGAAAUGCGCAGAUAUCAGGAGGAAUACCGGUGGCGAAGGCGGCAUCCUGGACCGGCAUUGACGCUGAGUGAGCGAAAGCCAGGGGAGCAAAUGGG